CCCCAAAUGAAUGGAGCGGUGGAAACCGCUAACAAAAAUCUCAAGAGAAUCAUCCGGAAAAUGACAGUCACCUAUAGAGAUUAGCAUGAUAUGCUUCGCUACGCCCUUCAUGCGUACCGGACCUCUUUAAGAACAUCAACUGGUGCAACUCCAUAUUCGCUGGUUUACGGAAUGGAAGCUGUUUUGCCUAUCGAAGUAGAAAUUCCUUCUCUGAGGAUUCUAAAAGAAUCAGGAAUUGAUGAGUCAGAAUGG
This 252-nucleotide unclassified non-coding RNA is filed under the name Hevea brasiliensis (rubber tree). Lineage: Eukaryota; Viridiplantae; Streptophyta; Magnoliopsida; Malpighiales; Euphorbiaceae. The record is from RNAcentral.